Molecule: ribosomal RNA, 704 nt
Filed under: Leucocoprinus leucothites
Lineage: Eukaryota; Fungi; Basidiomycota; Agaricomycetes; Agaricales; Agaricaceae
Description: eukaryotic LSU rRNA
Rfam family: 5.8S ribosomal RNA (bases 296-449)
Source: RNAcentral
AUUAUUGAAUAUGCUUGACGGGUUGUCGCUGGCCUUUCGAGGCAUGUGCACGCCUGUCUUGACUCUAUUCAUCCACCUGUGCACCUAUUGUAGUCUCUGUAUUCGUGUGAGCGUCGAGGGAAGCGGCUUGACUCGGUCAGUGAGACCGGACUUGAGGAUUGCCUUCUGGCUUUUCUCUGUGGCCGUGGAAAUCGUGCCUCUCCCGAAACAACGGAGGCUAUGUCCUUUUAUCAUAAACCAUGUAGUAUGUCGUAGAAUGUAUUCAAUGGGCCUUCGUGCCUAUAAAACCUUAUACAACUUUCAGCAACGGAUCUCUUGGCUCUCGCAUCGAUGAAGAACGCAGCGAUGCGAGAGCCAAGAGAUCCGUUGCUGAAUUCAGUGAAUCAUCGAAUCUUUGAACGCACCUUGCGCUCCUUGGUAUUCCGAGGAGCAUGCCUGUUUGAGUGUCAUUAAAUUCUCAACCCCUCUAACUUUUGUUGGAAGGGGCUUGGAUAUGGAGGUUUGCUGGCCCUUUGUUAAAGAAGGUCAGCUCCUCUGAAAUGCAUUAGCGGAACCGUUUGCGAUCCGUCACAGGUGUGAUAAUUAUCUACGCCGUGUAUAGUCGCUCUCUGUCUGUUCAGCUUCUAAUCGUCUUCAUGGACAAUUCUAUUGAAUAUUUGACCUCAAAUCAGGUAGGACUACCCGCUGAACUUAAGCAUAUCAAU